Non-coding RNA from Solanum lycopersicum (tomato), 1303 nucleotides. The record is from RefSeq and is a predicted model, not a curated record. Lineage: Eukaryota; Viridiplantae; Streptophyta; Magnoliopsida; Solanales; Solanaceae.
GAUGAUAAAGGUGGAAUCUUGGAAGAUCGGUUUGCAGAAAAAGGGAAGAAGAAAAGGAGAAUUUGUGAAAUGGGUUGGUUGAGUGAUCCAUUAGUUGUUCUUGGGACAGAUGUUAUGUUGAUGAUUUUGAGCUGUCUAGACGCACGCAGCGUGGCACUGUGUCUCCUUGUAUCUCGUGGAUGGAGGGCUGUUGCUUCUUCUGAUAAGAUUUGGAGCUCCAAGCUGCAGGUCCUCUCUGAACAUUUCUAGUUGGUUUGUUGGGAAGAUGAUAAAUUGUUGAAGAUGAAUUGUCUCUUUAUGUUUCUUGCUCUUAAUUGCUUUACCAGUGUGAAGAAUUAUGGCGAGGCAAAACACAUUUACCUCGGUUAGCAAAAGUAAAUGAUUUGUCGAAGUUGGUCGUUUACUCACUGUCUGUAAUGGAUGGUAAACGUAAGCGAAUAAGAAAGGAGGAUUUGUAUGAUCAUGUGUGGGAGUUCCAUUUCACCGAGGUAUGAGCCUAUUUAUAUUCCUUCUUUCUAAGUCUUACUUGCCAAUUUUGGAAGUCCAUGAAUAGGCAUUAUCCACCCAUAUAAAUCAUGCAUGGCUGCAGCUCGCACCAAAUUGAGUAGAUAUAGUUUGUACGUGCUUGAGAAAACUUAAAUCUGUACGAUUGAAGUUAAAACGUCCGUUUGAGGGUCGGUCUUUGUGUAGCUUUGCAAGUAGUUGGUAAGACUGCAUAAUACCUUCAUUUCUUGUUCAUUAUGUUUAACUUUUUGUUCUUCACUGGUCAGUUUCAUAGAGCUUUUGCCAAAAUUGAAAACGGUUUGCAUGGUUCUGUAUCCUGUAAGUGCUAUUUGAACCACUUCUGCUGCUGCCUUUGAUUGCUAUUUCUUCACAGUUUAAUGCAUCUGGAUUCAAUAAAGCUUUGAUUGGAAACUAGAGGAAGGAAGAGAAGUUUUUUGGUUUGACAAGAGAGUGAAAAAAACGAAGUGAAGCAGAUUUCCCUCUUUCCUUUCGCUAGUUUCCGUCAUAGGAUAACAAAGAUAAAACAUAAUCCUUGUAUAACUACAACCUAUACUACUUGUGUGGACGAAUCCUUAGGCGGCUCCUGAGUACUGGCGAAUGCUCGAUCCCUACAGGAAUGGAACUGGACGUCCCCUGCGCCGUUAUUUUCUUCCAGAUGGAAGUCAGACUGCAGAACCAGAUGACAAGAUAUGGGGUGGUCAUGAAUCUUGCUACUCCAUAGUAACUAGCUUGCUUGCAGAUGGAAAUAUAAGAGAACACUACGUGAGGAUAAACCGUUGGCCGCCUAUGUAUGUGACAA